Molecule: ribosomal RNA, 1286 nt
Filed under: Campylobacter jejuni
Lineage: Bacteria; Pseudomonadati; Campylobacterota; Epsilonproteobacteria; Campylobacterales; Campylobacteraceae
Description: partial 23S ribosomal RNA
Rfam family: Bacterial large subunit ribosomal RNA
Source: RNAcentral
AGGUAAGCUACUAAGAGCGAAUGGUGGAUGCCUUGACUGGUAAAGGCGAUGAAGGACGUACUAGACUGCGAUAAGCUACGGGGAGCUGUCAAGAAGCUUUGAUCCGUAGAUUUCCGAAUGGGGCAACCCAAUGUAUAGAGAUAUACAUUACCUAUAUAGGAGCGAACGAGGGGAAUUGAAACAUCUUAGUACCCUCAGGAAAAGAAAUCAAUAGAGAUUGCGUCAGUAGCGGCGAGCGAAAGCGCAAGAGGGCAAACCCAGUGCUUGCACUGGGGGUUGUAGGACUGCAAUGUGCAAGAGGUAAGUUUAGCAGAACAUUCUGGAAAGUAUAACCAUAGAGGGUGAUAGUCCCGUAUGCGAAAAACAAACCUUAGCUAGCAGUAUCCUGAGUAGGGCGGGACACGAGGAAUCCUGUCUGAAUCCGGGUCGACCACGAUCCAACCCUAAAUACUAAUACCAGAUCGAUAGUGCACAAGUACCGUGAGGGAAAGGUGAAAAGAACUGAGGUGAUCAGAGUGAAAUAGAACCUGAAACCAUUUGCUUACAAUCAUUCAGAGCCCUAUGUAGCAAUACAGGGUGAUGGACUGCCUUUUGCAUAAUGAGCCUGCGAGUUGUGGUGUCUGGCAAGGUUAAGCAAACGCGAAGCCGUAGCGAAAGCGAGUCUGAAUAGGGCGCUUAGUCAGAUGCUGCAGACCCGAAACGAAGUGAUCUAUCCAUGAGCAAGUUGAAGCUAGUGUAAGAACUAGUGGAGGACUGAACCCAUAGGCGUUGAAAAGCCCCGGGAUGACUUGUGGAUAGGGGUGAAAGGCCAAUCAAACUUCGUGAUAGCUGGUUCUCUCCGAAAUAUAUUUAGGUAUAGCGUUGUGUCGUAAUAUAAGGGGGUAGAGCACUGAAUGGGCUAGGGCAUACACCAAUGUACCAAACCCUAUCAAACUCCGAAUACCUUAUAUGUAAUCACAGCAGUCAGGCGGCGAGUGAUAAAAUCCGUCGUCAAGAGGGAAACAACCCAGACUACCAGCUAAGGUCCCUAAAUCUUACUUAAGUGGAAAACGAUGUGAAGUUACUUAAACAACCAGGAGGUUGGCUUAGAAGCAGCCAUCCUUUAAAGAAAGCGUAAUAGCUCACUGGUCUAGUGAUUUUGCGCGGAAAAUAUAACGGGGCUAAAGUAAGUACCGAAGCUGUAGACUUAGUUUACUAAGUGGUAGGAGAGCGUUCUAUUUGCGUCGAAGGUAUACCGGUAAGGAGUGCUGGAGCGAAUAGAAGUGAGCAUGCAGGCAUGAGUAGCG